Molecule: RNA transcript, 6647 nt
Organism: Populus nigra (black poplar)
Lineage: Eukaryota; Viridiplantae; Streptophyta; Magnoliopsida; Malpighiales; Salicaceae
Exons: 5
Source: RefSeq, a predicted model, not a curated record
GAAAUAUUUUCUUUAUUUUUAUAACUACUUUAAUUUUAUUUUGUUAAUAUUUUCGAUCAAAACCCUUCUUCUCGUGAAACCAAAAGAAACCCUAGCUCCUCUCCGUUUCCCACGUUAAAAAAUACAUUCCUCAAAUUACCGGAAAAUUAGUUACUAAAAUCAACAAUUGUUGUAGGGUUUUAAUUCGCAAUCCAUAGAUUCACAUUCUGGUCCAUGUUUCAUGCACGCGAUCUUCAUAUUUCUCUUGAGAAAUCGAAUGCUCGCGGUAUUUCAAUCCAGGUACGUUUUGUACUUUGUCUCUUUUGAUGUUAUUUGGUCAAUUCAGGGUUUGGUUUUGAUGGUUAGUGCUUGAUUGCUUUGAUUUGUGGGUUAAUCUGUGAAUUUUGGUAAUUUAAGGGGGGGUAAUUUUGGUGAUUUGGUGUCGUUUCGGUGUUUUUCCAGAUCUGAAAAUGCAUGAUAGGGAUUUGAAAAUCAGGGGUUUUGGGCUUUGGUGUUUGGAUUGAUGGAAAAUAGAGUAGGAAAGUCUCAUGGAGUGGAGAUUCCUAAAAAAUCGAGAUCUUUGGAUCAUAAAAGUCUCUAUGAAUCUAAAAAUCCUAAAGGGGAUCAAAAUAGUAAUAAUUUGAAGCGGAAGGGUGGUGGUGCAGGUGAUGAUGAGAAGGGACAUGAGAAGAAGAAGAGUAGAAAGGAGGUUUCUAUUAGUAGUUUUAAGAAUAAGAAUGUUAACAGUAGCUAUAGUAAGAGUUUAAAGGAAGUGUAUAAUAGGAGUUUGAGUUCAGGUUUGAAGGAAUCGAAGUCUGGGUUGAUUCAGAGAUUGGCUGAUAGUAAUGGAUUUAGUGGUGUUUCCUUACCUCUGGAUGGUGAGGUUGUUAAAAUCCCUAGGCGGAAACGAGGUUUUGUGGGGCGAAGGAAAGUUGAUAAUGGUAGUGAGGGGUCCAAGCUGACAGGAGGGUUUGGCAGGGAAGCAGGCAAUGUCGAUCAGGCAGAUAAGCUAACUGGUGAAGAUGAGAGCAAAUGGGUUGAGAAUGGUGGUCGAGAGUUGAAAGCAGUGGGGAUAUCUGGUGGUGAAGUGGAUGAUGUCGAUCAGGCUAGUAAGUUAACUGUUGAAGAUAAGGGCAAGCAGGUUGAACCUUUGAAGGCUAAACAGAAGAAAGGUUCUGAUGACUUGAAAGAAAAUAGAAAUGAUGAACUGAAUGCAAGCAGAAAUUUGGAGGAGGAGGAGGACGGGCAUGAGGGCCAUCCAGUUGCAACAAAAAGAGAUUCAUCAUCGAAAAGGCCUCACAAUGGCCCUUUGGUUGACAACAAUGGUGAUUUAUCUUUGAAAAAGUCACUGAGGAAGCGGAGCAGGAAAAAGGGCAUGGUGUCCGAUAAGAAAAGAACCAAGGAGGAUGACCCAACAGUUGAUACUUCUAUGAAGAUGAGUGGUGUUUUGCAGGACGAGGAGGAGGAGAAUCUCGAAGAGAAUGCAGCAAUGAUGCUAUCAUCACGAUUCAAUCCGAGCUGCACGGGCUUUUCUUCAAACAGCAAAGCCUCAGCCUCGCCAUCUAAAAAUGAUUUCCAAGAAUUUGUUGCUCAUGGGUCUAGCUAUGUCUCUGGAUCUGAAUCUUCAUCUGUUGAUAUUGAUGGUAGAGUAUUGCGACCUAGGAAACAAAACAAAGAGAAGGGUAGUACCAGGAAACGACGCCAUUAUUAUGAAGUUUUCUCUGGGGACUUGGAUGCUCAUUGGGUGUUGAACCAGAGAAUCAAGGUCUUUUGGCCUCUGGACCAGAGAUGGUAUCAUGGUCUUGUUGGUGACUAUGACAAAGAGAGGAAGCUUCAUCACAUAAAAUAUGAUGAUCGGGAUGAGGAAUGGAUUGAUCUCCAAAAUGAAAGAUUUAAACUCUUGCUGCUACCUAGUGAAGUUCCAGGUAAGAUGCGAAGGAAAAGAUCAAUAACAAGCAACAAGCGCUCUGAUGGGUGGAAAGAAAAAAUGACAUCCAGAAAAGAAAAGAGGGACUUGAUCACAGAGGAUGAUAGCUAUGAAGGGGCAUAUAUGGAGUCGGAGCCUAUCAUCUCAUGGUUGGCUCGAUCUACUCGUAGAGUCAAAUCGUCUCCUCUUCAUGCCUUGAAGAAACAGAAAACAUCCUAUCUAUCUUCUACUAUGACACCACUGUCUUCCCUAAAAAGAGAUAAAUGCAAGUUAUCUUAUAAUUCUGCUUCAUCAGACAGUGUAGCCACUGAUGGAAGGAGUGAUUUGCCUGUGAUGGAGAGCCCUGUUUUCCCCAAAGAUAGCAAGCUCCCUAUUGUUUAUUACAGGAAGCGGUUUCGCAAGACAAGCAAUGUGUUGUGUCAUGAAUCCAAGGGCAUUUGUGUUUCUGCCAGUGUACCAGAAACUGAUAGUUCUCUUGUGCCUCUUACUGUUGCUUUUUGGGCUUUGCAAGAGCAUUAUACUUCUCUUGGAAGAUUGGAUCAUGACCUGGAUUCGAAUAGGUUGGAUUCUUCUGAUCCUUUAUGGUCAACUGGUAAUGCAGGGUUGUUGAGAUUAAAUAUUUCUGCCACAGAACCAAGAUGGUUGAGGUUCAAGUUAAGCUUCCAAUUGCCUUCUUUCUUGAAUUACUACUCAUUUGGCUCUGAAAAUGUUUGGUUGAUCCAUGCUGUGCUACUGCUUCAGUAUGGUAUGCUUAUGACUACAUGGCCAAGAAUUCAUCUGGAGAUGCUUUUUGUAGAUAAUAUGGUUGGAUUGAGGUUUCUCUUGUUUGAAGGUUGCUUGAUGCAGGCUGUAGCUUUUGUAUUCCUGGUCUUAACAGUAUUUCAUCAACCUAGAGAGCAGGGGAAAUGUGCUGACUUCCAGUUGCCAAUAACUUCAAUCAGGUACAGAUUCUCUUGCAUUCGAAAUCUGAGAAAGCACUUUGCCUUUUCAUUCUACAACUUCUCUGAAGUGGAGAAUUCAAAGUGGAAGUACUUGGACCAUAAGCUCAAAAGGCAUUGCCUGGCUUAUAGGCAACUAUCUCUGUCCGAAUGCACUUAUGAUAACAUUAAGGCAUUGCAAUGCGGAAAGAAUCGACUUUUCAGUCCUUUGGUCUGCAGUGAUGCCACCUUAAAUAAGGUCCUGCAUAGGAGAUCUAGGCAGAGUAUUAGCCUCAUGGGGGUCACCAGAGAAUCUACUUGUGUUAAUGGCAGCCAGUCUUCUUUUAAGUCUGACAAGAAUCACAGAUAUUUACCUUCAUUUGCACUUUCUUUUACUGCUGCUCCUACUUAUUUUUUUGGUUUGCAUUUAAAGAUGCUUGUGGAACAUAGUGUGAUGCAUAUUAACACUGAGGAUCACAAUUCAAUAGAACAUCCAGAAAAAUCCAGUGGUUUAGUGGCUGAUAGCUGCACUUGCAUAGAGGACUGUUCCAAAGCAUGUUUAGAUUGCACACCUGGUAAUGAUUUCAAGGCUUUGACAAGGGGUGCUGACUAUGAUGGAUGCAUAUCCUGUGCUAAACCAGAGUCACAAAGUGUUGAUGUUUCCAUUUGCAGUGGUGGGGAUUGGAAAAAAUCCUUAUCAAACCAAAGUGGUGAUGUAAAUGUUGAAAUUUCUGCUAGCUACAGAGAUCUUGGAGAAUCGGGAAGUGGUGCAAUUGUCCCGCUGCAGAAUUUGGAAUGCAACCAUUCAGAGUCACAACCCUGUGACUUGCUGUUAAGGCAGUCAAUUAACAAAGAUGAGACUGGUGCUGGUUCACAUGCUCUUUCAAAUGGUAUCACGGUUGAUAUUCCAUCAGUUAAUCAAUUUGACCAGCAUGCUAAUAAGGAAUUACAAGGCGUUCAGCAGUCUUCUGAUUUGUCUUGGAAUAUGAAUGGUGGUGUUAUUCCAAGUCCAAACCCUACUGCUCGCCGAAGUACCUGGCAUCGAAAUAGAAGUAGUUUUGCAUCUUUUGGAUGGUCUGAAGGAAAGGCUGACUUUCUCCAAAACAAUUUUGGUAAUGGACCUAAGAAGCCACGGACACAGGUUUCUUAUGCAUUGCCGUUUGGAGGUUUUGAUUACAGCCCAAGGAAUAAAGGAUAUCAGCAAAAAGGGUUUCCACAUAAACGAAUCAGGACAGCCACUGAGAAGAGGACUUCAUUCAUUUCCAGAGGUUCUGAAAGAAACUUAGAGUUGUUGUCCUGUGAUGCAAAUGUUUUGAUUACAAAUGGUGACAAAGGAUGGAGAGAAUGUGGGGUGCAGGUUGUACUAGAGCUUUUUGAUCAUAAUGAGUGGAGGCUUGGUGUUAAGCUUUCUGGAACUACAAUUUAUUCAUACAAGGCACAUCAGUUUCUGCAAACUGGGUCAACAAAUCGGUUUACACAUGCAAUGAUGUGGAAAGGAGGGAAAGAUUGGACACUGGAAUUUCCUGAUAGGAGUCAGUGGGCUCUUUUUAAAGAGAUGCAUGAAGAAUGCUAUAAUCGGAAUAUACGUGCUGCAUCAGUUAAAAACAUUCCGAUUCCUGGGGUUCGCUUGAUAGAGGAAAAUGAUGAUAAUGGAAUAGAAGUACCGUUUUUUCGGGGUUGUAAGUACUUUCGGCAGCUUGAAUCAGAUGUUGAGAUGGCUUUGGAUCCAUCAAGGGUGCUAUAUGAUAUGGACAGUGAUGAUGAACAGUGGAUGCUAAAAAAUCAAAGUUCUUCAGAAGUCAAUAGCAGUUCAUGGCAGAUUUCAGAAGAAAUGUUUGAGAAGGCAAUGGACAUGUUUGAGAAGGCUGCAUAUUCUCAACAGCGGGACCAGUUUACAUUCAAUGAAAUAGUUGAGUUUAUGACUGGAAUUGAGCCCACAGAAGCCAUCAAAACCAUCCAUGAAUAUUGGCAGCAUAAGAGGCAGAGGAAGAGAAUGCCUUUAAUCCGUCAUCUCCAGCCGCCACUUUGGGAAAGGUAUCAGCAGCAAUUGAGGGAGUGGGAGCAAGCAAUGACAAGAAGUAACACAGGCAUCCCUAAUGGAUGCCAUGAGAAGUUUGCACUUUCUGACAAGCCACCCAUGUAUGCUUUCUGUUUGAAACCAAGGGGUUUGGAAGUGCCUAACAAGGGAUCAAAACAAAGGUCGCAUAAAAAAUUUUCAGUUGCUGGACAAAGCAACAGCUUAGCAGGAAAUCAUGACGGCUUGCACCCUUAUGGAAGAAGAAUAAAUGGCUUUGCUUCUGGGGAUGAAAAGACAAUAUAUUCAGUACAUAACAAUGAAUCUUUUGAAGAUUCCCCGUUGCCUCAGAUGUCACCCAGGGUGUUUUCACCACGAGAUGCUUAUGGCCGUGCAUUUGUCUCACUGACUGGUGAUGGUUAUGAUAGGAAUAAUCUCCAGAAACUUUGCAGGACCAAGUCAAAGAAACUUGGUACCUUUGUGUCUCCCUAUGAUGUUCAGAUGGCUACUUCAUAUAAUCACAGAAUGUUGGAUCAGAGAAAUGGAUUUCGUCAUUGGAAUUUGGGCUUUUCGGACUGGCCUAGCCAGCGACAUCACCAGACAGAUGGAUAUGCGAGGCAUGGCCGUGAACAGUUGAAUGAUUCAGGUCUUGAUGAGCUCAGGUUGCGUGAAGCUUCUGGUGCGGCUAAGCACGCACUUAACGUGGCUAAGCUCAAGAGACAUAGGGCACAGAGAUUGCUUUACAGGGCAGAUCUUGCAAUUCACAAGGCUGUGGUUGCCCUAAUGAAUGCUGAAGCAAUCAAAGCUUCUUCCGAGGACAUAAAUGUUGAUGGGUAGAAUGAGAAAAACUACAUAUGAGAUGAUAGGAAUUUGCCAGCCCCUUUAGCUUGCAUGUCUGAAUCCAAAGAAUCCAGUUACAGACUAUACAUUGUCCUUGCUGGAACAGUGGUGUUUCUAUCAUCCGUGGCAGUGGCCUUUUGUCAUUAGCCUUUCCAGCAGGUUUCUAACAGGUGCUGUGGCAUUUAGAAGGGAGAAGGGUUAUUUUUUUUUUUUUGCCUCUGCCUCAUUAAUCUGCCAUCAAUCUGGCAGUUUUGGUUAGGACUUGCCAGGUCUUAUACCCACUCGUUUUUUUUUGUUCUGGUAACUGGUUCACCUGCACAGAUCAUGCUUGUGAAGGGGGUUUGUGGAGUUUUGGCUGCAGAUCUUUGUACAGAUCUUUGUUUCCUUUUCCUUUUUGUUUUCUCCCUUAACCAUGAAUAUCGAAGUAGCAGUUGGCCGAAAUAAUAUGACACCCCGGGAUUCGACUUACAAGUUCCCAUCUGAUUCAACACUGGAGCAUUCACUAGAUAGAUAUGGGCCAACGGAAUACAUUAUCCAUGAAAAUAGAAGAGGAAAAAAUUCUAUUCCAGAUUUUGUUACUCUCUCUGUGGUAAAGGGGAAGGGUGCCUGCAAUGCGAUGAAACGUUGGCACGAGUCUGGCCAGGACCCUCCCGGCGGCGGGGGGCCUCGUAUGCCUACUAGGGUGAAACUGAAACCAAAACAUGCAUGGAUAUUAUGGAUAUGAAGCUUGGGUCAGUUUCAUGGAAGUUCUUUGCGACCCGUUCAAUUCUAUGGUCACUCGAUGCCAGGAUCAGGAUGUAAUUGAUUCAAAAUCUUUGACUUCCAUGGCAUCAGUUAGCAUUAUGUAUGCAUGCGGUAGUGUCUGGUUUGAUCAAUUUUGACUCCUCUCUGUUUGUUGACAGUGUUUGAUUCAAUUUUAGCCCAUACAGUGAACAGCAAUGGAGGCCGGUUUCCUGCCUUUAUUCCUCAA